This 1554-nucleotide ribosomal RNA is filed under the name Escherichia coli. Its description in RNAcentral is "bacterial SSU rRNA". It matches the Rfam family "Bacterial small subunit ribosomal RNA". The record is from RNAcentral. Lineage: Bacteria; Pseudomonadati; Pseudomonadota; Gammaproteobacteria; Enterobacterales; Enterobacteriaceae.
AAAUUGAAGAGUUUGAUCAUGGCUCAGAUUGAACGCUGGCGGCAGGCCUAACACAUGCAAGUCGAACGGUAACAGGAAGAAGCUUGCUUCUUUGCUGACGAGUGGCGGACGGGUGAGUAAUGUCUGGGAAACUGCCUGAUGGAGGGGGAUAACUACUGGAAACGGUAGCUAAUACCGCAUAACGUCGCAAGACCAAAGAGGGGGACCUUCGGGCCUCUUGCCAUCGGAUGUGCCCAGAUGGGAUUAGCUAGUAGGUGGGGUAAAGGCUCACCUAGGCGACGAUCCCUAGCUGGUCUGAGAGGAUGACCAGCCACACUGGAACUGAGACACGGUCCAGACUCCUACGGGAGGCAGCAGUGGGGAAUAUUGCACAAUGGGCGCAAGCCUGAUGCAGCCAUGCCGCGUGUAUGAAGAAGGCCUUCGGGUUGUAAAGUACUUUCAGCGGGGAGGAAGGGAGUAAAGUUAAUACCUUUGCUCAUUGACGUUACCCGCAGAAGAAGCACCGGCUAACUCCGUGCCAGCAGCCGCGGUAAUACGGAGGGUGCAAGCGUUAAUCGGAAUUACUGGGCGUAAAGCGCACGCAGGCGGUUUGUUAAGUCAGAUGUGAAAUCCCCGGGCUCAACCUGGGAACUGCAUCUGAUACUGGCAAACUUGAGUCUCGUAGAGGGGGGUAGAAUUCCAGGUGUAGCGGUGAAAUGCGUAGAGAUCUGGAGGAAUACCGGUGGCGAAGGCGGCCCCCUGGACGAAGACUGACGCUCAGGUGCGAAAGCGUGGGGAGCAAACAGGAUUAGAUACCCUGGUAGUCCACGCCGUAAACGAUGUCGACUUGGAGGUUGUGCCCUUGAGGCGUGGCUUCCGGAGCUAACGCGUUAAGUCGACCGCCUGGGGAGUACGGCCGCAAGGUUAAAACUCAAAUGAAUUGACGGGGGCCCGCACAAGCGGUGGAGCAUGUGGUUUAAUUCGAUGCAACGCGAAGAACCUUACCUGGUCUUGACAUCCACGGAAGUUUUCAGAGAUGAGAAUGUGCCUUCGGGAACCGUGAGACAGGUGCUGCAUGGCUGUCGUCAGCUCGUGUUGUGAAAUGUUGGGUUAAGUCCCGCAACGAGCGCAACCCUUAUCCUUUGUUGCCAGCGGUCCGGCCGGGAACUCAAAGGAGACUGCCAGUGAUAAACUGGAGGAAGGUGGGGAUGACGUCAAGUCAUCAUGGCCCUUACGACCAGGGCUACACACGUGCUACAAUGGCGCAUACAAAGAGAAGCGACCUCGCGAGAGCAAGCGGACCUCAUAAAGUGCGUCGUAGUCCGGAUUGGAGUCUGCAACUCGACUCCAUGAAGUCGGAAUCGCUAGUAAUCGUGGAUCAGAAUGCCACGGUGAAUACGUUCCCGGGCCUUGUACACACCGCCCGUCACACCAUGGGAGUGGGUUGCAAAAGAAGUAGGUAGCUUAACCUUCGGGAGGGCGCUUACCACUUUGUGAUUCAUGACUGGGGUGAAGUCGUAACAAGGUAACCGUAGGGGAACCUGCGGUUGGAUCACCUCCUUACCUUAAAGAAGC